GGGGUGCUAUACAUGCAGUCGAGCGAAUGGAUUAAGAGCUUGCUCUUAUGAAGUUAGCGGCGGACGGGUGAGUAACACGUGGGUAACCUGCCCAUAAGACUGGGAUAACUCCGGGAAACCGGGGCUAAUACCGGAUAACAUUUUGAACCGCAUGGUUCGAAAUUGAAAGGCGGCUUCGGCUGUCACUUAUGGAUGGACCCGCGUCGCAUUAGCUAGUUGGUGAGGUAACGGCUCACCAAGGCAACGAUGCGUAGCCGACCUGAGAGGGUGAUCGGCCACACUGGGACUGAGACACGGCCCAGACUCCUACGGGAGGCAGCAGUAGGGAAUCUUCCGCAAUGGACGAAAGUCUGACGGAGCAACGCCGCGUGAGUGAUGAAGGCUUUCGGGUCGUAAAACUCUGUUGUUAGGGAAGAACAAGUGCUAGUUGAAUAAGCUGGCACCUUGACGGUACCUAACCAGAAAGCCACGGCUAACUACGUGCCAGCAGCCGCGGUAAUACGUAGGUGGCAAGCGUUAUCCGGAAUUAUUGGGCGUAAAGCGCGCGCAGGUGGUUUCUUAAGUCUGAUGUGAAAGCCCACGGCUCAACCGUGGAGGGUCAUUGGAAACUGGGAGACUUGAGUGCAGAAGAGGAAAGUGGAAUUCCAUGUGUAGCGGUGAAAUGCGUAGAGAUAUGGAGGAACACCAGUGGCGAAGGCGACUUUCUGGUCUGUAACUGACACUGAGGCGCGAAAGCGUGGGGAGCAAACAGGAUUAGAUACCCUG
This 765-nucleotide ribosomal RNA is filed under the name Bacillus cereus. RNAcentral's name for it is "bacterial SSU rRNA". It matches the Rfam family "Bacterial small subunit ribosomal RNA", at positions 41 to 789 of the family's 1533-position model. Lineage: Bacteria; Bacillati; Bacillota; Bacilli; Caryophanales; Bacillaceae. The record is from RNAcentral.